This 502-nucleotide ribosomal RNA is filed under the name uncultured Glomeromycotina. RNAcentral's name for it is "partial small subunit ribosomal RNA". It matches the Rfam family "Eukaryotic small subunit ribosomal RNA", at positions 591 to 1092 of the family's 1831-position model. The record is from RNAcentral. Lineage: Eukaryota; Fungi; Glomeromycota.
CCAAUAGCGUAUAUUAGUGUUGUUGCGGUUAAAAAGCUCGUAGUUGAAUUUCGGGAUUGGGAUAUAUCGGUCGUGCCUUUAGGGGCAUGAAUCAGUGUGUGGCCAAUUCUCACCUUCUGGUGAAUUGGGAUGCUCUCGGGUGUUUCAAUGAACUAGGACUUUUACUUUGAAAAAAUUAGAGUGUUUAAAGCGGGCAUUUUUGCUUGAAUACGUUAGCAUGGAAUAAUAAAAUAGGACGAUGGUUCUAUUUUGUUGGUUUUAGGACCACGUAAUGAUUAAUAGGGAUAGUUGGGGGCAUUAGUAUUCAAUUGUCAGAGGUGAAAUUCUUGGAUUUAUUGAGGACUAACUACUGCGAAAGCAUUUGCCAAGGAUGUUUUCAUUAAUCAAGAACGAAAGUUAGGGGAUCAAAGACGAUUUAUGUACGUCGUAGUCCUAACCAUAAACUAUGCCGACUAGGAAUCAGACAAAGUUAAUUUUUUAACGACUUGUUUGGGACCUUACG